AACGAACGCUGGCGGCAUGCCUAACACAUGCAAGUCGAACGAGACCUUCGGGUCUAGUGGCGCACGGGUGCGUAACGCGUGGGAACCUGCCCUUAGGUUCGGAAUAACUCCCCGAAAGGGGUGCUAAUACCGGAUAAUGUCUUAGGACCAAAGAUUUAUCGCCUUUGGAUGGGCCCGCGUUGGAUUAGCUAGUUGGUAGGGUAAAAGCCUACCAAGGCGACGAUCCAUAGCUGGUCUGUGAGGAUGAUCAGCCACACUGGGACUGAGACACGGCCCAGACUCCUACGGGAAGCAGCAGUGGGGAAUAUUGGACAAUGGGCGAAAGCCUGAUCCAGCAAUGCCGCGUGAGUGAUGAAGGCCUUAGGGUUGUAAAGCUCUUUUACCCGGGAUGAUAAUGACAGUACCGGGAGAAUAAGCUCCGGCUAACUCCGUG
RNAcentral lists this ribosomal RNA (433 nucleotides) under uncultured bacterium. Its description in RNAcentral is "partial 16S ribosomal RNA". It matches the Rfam family "Bacterial small subunit ribosomal RNA", at positions 29 to 507 of the family's 1533-position model. The record is from RNAcentral.